Molecule: ribosomal RNA, 378 nt
Filed under: Nocardia cyriacigeorgica
Lineage: Bacteria; Bacillati; Actinomycetota; Actinomycetes; Mycobacteriales; Nocardiaceae
Description: partial 23S ribosomal RNA
Rfam family: Bacterial large subunit ribosomal RNA
Source: RNAcentral
ACCCGGUAAGCCUGAAUACUCCCUGGUGACCGAUAGCGGACUAGUACCGUGAGGGAAAGGUGAAAAGUACCCCGGGAGGGGAGUGAAAUAGUACCUGAAACCGUGCGCUUACAAUCCGUCAGAGCCUGCGCCUAGUUUACUAGGGUGGGUGAUGGCGUGCCUUUUGAAGAAUGAGCCUGCGAGUUAGUGGCAUGUGGCGAGGUUAACCCGUGGUGGGGUAGCCGUAGCGAAAGCGAGUCCGAAUAGGGCGUUUUGAGUCGCGUGUUCUAGACCCGAAGCGGAGUGAUCUACCCAUGGCCAGGGUGAAGCGACGGUAAGACGUCGUGGAGGCCCGAACCCACUUAGGUUGAAAACUGAGGGGAUGAGCUGUGGGUAGGG